UGGGGAAUAUUGCACAAUGGGCGCAAGCCUGAUGCAGCCAUGCCGCGUGUGUGAAGAAGGCCUUCGGGUUGUAAAGCACUUUCAGCGGGGAGGAAGGCGUUAAGGUUAAUAACCUUGGCGAUUGACGUUACCCGCAGAAGAAGCACCGGCUAACUCCGUGCCAGCAGCCGCGGUAAUACGGAGGGUGCAAGCGUUAAUCGGAAUUACUGGGCGUAAAGCGCACGCAGGCGGUCUGUCAAGUCGGAUGUGAAAUCCCCGGGCUCAACCUUGGAACUGCAUUCGAAACUGGCAGGCUAGAGUCUUGUAGAGGGGGGUAGAAUUCCAGGUGUAGCGAUGAAAUGCGUAGAGGUCUGGAGGAAUACCGGUGGCGAAGGCGGCCCCCUGGACAAAGACUGACGCUCAGGUGGGAAAGCGUGGGGAGCAAACAGG
RNAcentral lists this ribosomal RNA (429 nucleotides) under Chloroflexota bacterium. Its description in RNAcentral is "Chloroflexi bacterium partial 16S ribosomal RNA". It matches the Rfam family "Bacterial small subunit ribosomal RNA", at positions 355 to 776 of the family's 1533-position model. Lineage: Bacteria; Bacillati; Chloroflexota. The record is from RNAcentral.